RNAcentral lists this long non-coding RNA (200 nucleotides) under Elaeis guineensis (African oil palm). Its description in RNAcentral is "long non-coding RNA (EGUI_LNC079289)". Lineage: Eukaryota; Viridiplantae; Streptophyta; Magnoliopsida; Arecales; Arecaceae. The record is from RNAcentral.
AUUCUAGAUUUUAUUUACAAAGAUUAGAUACAACUAUUUUUCAUAUAAUAUAUCACAUACACAACCCUAGGAUUUUAUAAAAAAAGUAAAAAUUUUUUUUCAUAUUUAUGUUCAUGGGAUAUAGUCACAAUGGUACCCCUAUACAUCAUAAGAAUAUCCAAUUGAAUAGAAAAAAGAGAGAUCUAAUCUCUAUUACCUCC